RNAcentral lists this ribosomal RNA (498 nucleotides) under Paenibacillaceae bacterium 'ARUP UnID 503'. RNAcentral describes it as "bacterial SSU rRNA". It matches the Rfam family "Bacterial small subunit ribosomal RNA", at positions 27 to 504 of the family's 1533-position model. Lineage: Bacteria; Bacillati; Bacillota; Bacilli; Caryophanales; Paenibacillaceae. The record is from RNAcentral.
GGACGAACGCUGGCGGCGUGCCUAAUACAUGCAAGUCGAGCGGASUUGAUGGAGUGCUUGCWCUCCUGAURSUUAGCGGCGGACGGGUGAGUAACACGUAGGUAACCUGCCCAUAAGACUGGGAUAACUACCGGAAACGGUAGCUAAUACCGGAUAGGUUCUUCUCUCGCAUGGGAGGRGAAAGAAAGACGGAGCAAUCUGUCACUUAUGGAUGGACCUGCGGCGCAUUAGCUAGUUGGUGAGGUAACGGCUCACCAAGGCGACGAUGCGUAGCCGACCUGAGAGGGUGAUCGGCCACACUGGGACUGAGACACGGCCCAGACUCCUACGGGAGGCAGCAGUAGGGAAUCUUCCGCAAUGGGCGAAAGCCUGACGGAGCAACGCCGCGUGAGUGAUGAAGGUUUUCGGAUCGUAAAGCUCUGUUGCCAGGGAAGAACGUCCUUAAGAGUAACUGCUUARGGAGUGACGGUACCUGAGAAGAAAGCCCCGGCUAACUAC